GACGAACGCUGGCGGCGUGCCUAAUACAUGCAAGUAGAACGCUGAAGGGAGAGCUUGCUCUUCUGGAUGAGUUGCGAACGGGUGAGUAACGCGUAGGUAACCUGCCUGGUAGCGGGGGAUAACUAUUGGAAACGAUAGCUAAUACCGCAUAACAUUGACUAUUGCAUGAUAGUCAAUUAAAAGGUGCAAAUGCAUCACUACCAGAUGGACCUGCGUUGUAUUAGCUAGUUGGUGGGGUAACGGCUCACCAAGGCUACGAUACAUAGCCGACCUGAGAGGGUGAUCGGCCACACUGGGACUGAGACACGGCCCAGACUCCUACGGGAGGCAGCAGUAGGGAAUCUUCGGCAAUGGACGGAAGUCUGACCGAGCAACGCCGCGUGAGUGAAGAAGGUUUUCGGAUCGUAAAGCUCUGUUGUAAGAGAAGAACGAGUGUGAGAGUGGAAAGUUCACACUGUGACG
RNAcentral lists this ribosomal RNA (462 nucleotides) under Streptococcus cristatus. RNAcentral's name for it is "bacterial SSU rRNA". It matches the Rfam family "Bacterial small subunit ribosomal RNA", at positions 28 to 474 of the family's 1533-position model. Lineage: Bacteria; Bacillati; Bacillota; Bacilli; Lactobacillales; Streptococcaceae. The record is from RNAcentral.